Molecule: transfer RNA, 72 nt
Filed under: Bos taurus (domestic cattle)
Lineage: Eukaryota; Metazoa; Chordata; Mammalia; Artiodactyla; Bovidae
Rfam family: tRNA
About the family: Transfer RNA (tRNA) molecules are approximately 80 nucleotides in length.
Source: Rfam by way of RNAcentral
UCCUUCGUGGUUCAGAUGGUAAAGAAUCUGCCUGCAAUGCAGGAGACCCAGGUUCCAUCCUUGGCUCAGGAA